RNAcentral lists this ribosomal RNA (618 nucleotides) under uncultured bacterium. Its description in RNAcentral is "bacterial SSU rRNA". It matches the Rfam family "Bacterial small subunit ribosomal RNA", at positions 28 to 692 of the family's 1533-position model. The record is from RNAcentral.
AACGAACGCUGGCGGCAUGCCUAACACAUGCAAGUCGAACGAGACCUUCGGGUCUAGUGGCGCACGGGUGCGUAACGCGUGGGAAUCUGCCCUUGGGUUCGGAAUAACAGUUAGAAAUGACUGCUAAUACCGGAUGAUGUCUUCGGACCAAAGAUUUAUCGCCCAGGGAUGAGCCCGCGUAGGAUUAGCUAGUUGGUGAGGUAAAGGCUCACCAAGGCGACGAUCCUUAGCUGGUCUGAGAGGAUGAUCAGCCACACUGGGACUGAGACACGGCCCAGACUCCUACGGGAGGCAGCAGUGGGGAAUAUUGGACAAUGGGCGAAAGCCUGAUCCAGCAAUGCCGCGUGAGUGAUGAAGGCCUUAGGGUUGUAAAGCUCUUUUACCCGGGAUGAUAAUGACAGUACCGGGAGAAUAAGCCCCGGCUAACUCCGCGCCAGCAGCCGCGGUAAUACGGAGGGGGCUAGCGUUGUUCGGAAUUACUGGGCGUAAAGCGCGCGUAGGCGGCUUUGUAAGUUAGAGGUGAAAGCCCGGAGCUCAACUCCGGAACUGCCUUUAAGACUGCAUCGCUAGAAUCGUGGAGAGGUGAGUGGAAUUCCGCGUGUAGCAGUGAAAUGCGUA